Episyrphus balteatus (marmalade hoverfly) is the source of this 1627-nucleotide long non-coding RNA. RefSeq lists it as uncharacterized. NCBI's taxonomy places the organism in Eukaryota, Metazoa, Arthropoda, Insecta, Diptera, Syrphidae. The transcript is spliced from 6 exons. The record is from RefSeq and is a predicted model, not a curated record.
UUGUGAGCUGUUUGUAAAAAAAUAAAUAAAUUUAAUAUAAAGUUGGGAACCAUGAAACUGACAAAUGAAAAUUAAUAUUCUUGGAAGAUGAAUUUAAAAAAAUAUUUUUAUUUGAAAUGAAUACUCUAGACACUCGUUUUUCAGCCCCGGUUGAAUCGAAUUAAAAAAUAAGUUUCUUUCGCUUCUUGAAAAUUUAGAGUGCAAUAUCGGUUCAAGACUUUUGAAUUAUUGGAUUAAAAUCGUUUGAAGUCCAAUGCAACUAAAAAAAUCUUUUUUUCAGAUACGUCUGGUCGUUGGAUAGGAAACCAGCGGUGUGGGUGCUCUUAUUGUGAUCACCAUGGCGUGUCUGAACGGCAUACGAUGCUAAUAGAACUGGCGGGCAAUAGAUUUCAUAAGACAAUAUGGCAUUUUUUACUUGCAAGUAAAACAGACACAGAGUUAUGUCUUGGAUGAGUUAUUCGGCAACAUCCUCUGGAUAAAAUUUGCCUCUUAGGCGGAACUGUUACCCCUCGAAUCGGUAUAUUGCAAUCGAAAGAAGCAAACUUCACGUAGGCCAAUUGUCUUAACAACUUAAUUGAAGAGCUGUUUGCCGCUGAACAUGGUCAGAGCGCGCUCAGCGAGAUCAGAAUAAAAUGAAUGAAUGCAAAACCUUACAAAAUAUGAAAAGUAGUGGAUGAGAGUAGUCGCUGCAGUACUGAAUUUAACCAACAUAUUUUUUAUUACAUCUUGAAAGAGGCAGACUAACAAAACUGAAAAAGUUACAUGAAAGACUUAAACUUGAAUAAAAUGGAAAACCUUUUUUUUUUGGCAACGGAUGAUUCGCAAAAAGACUACAAAAGCAUCCCGAAACUAUUCCAGCCAGAUCGUUGUUUCAUCAAAGAAACCUAAAAUCCAAUAUUCGGCUGUUUUGUCGGAAAAGCGUUUUGGAAAACUACGCAAUUGGAAAAUAUUCCACCCGAGCAAUAAUUGGAGAUUAAACAAUGAAUGCUCAAUGCAUUUAUCCAGGAGCAAGAAAAAUCCGUUCGCAAUGCCAUUGCGCAGCUUAUUGGUGUUUCGAUUCAUUAUGAAAAGAAGGGAUAAUGGAUCCAAGAGGUCUUGCAAUUUGUAUACAGCAAUUGCAGUUCGGUUGAUCGAAAACAAAGUGAAUUGGGAUCAUCGAUCUUUGCUCAAUAACCGAUGUAGCACCAGAACAAUUUGUCGCUCUCAUGAAAUCUAUUAUGGUGAUAUUUUGACCGCUGCUUUAACUGCUACCAAAACCAGUGGAAAUAUGGCUACUCUUCUAACAAUCAAAGUGGAGAUGAAUCUAUCAGCAGUAUGGAGAAAAUCCAAAGGCAACUAAAUGAACAACAGCAUACAAUCUUUGAGAUAAAUGCUGCUAGCUGAAUAAAAUGCAAAAUUCGUUGGAGAAAUUGCAUCACUUCAACAAGAAAACGAUAAGCUAGAAGGCGAAAAGAAUUUUCUCAAAUCGAAAUUAGAUCAAAUGAAGGCUGAGUUCCAUUUGGACAUAAUCAAAGCCCUGGAAGGUAAAAAUGCUGAAAUAAAACGUCUGCAGACUGUUAGUAUGGGCCCUCGAACUAAGUGUGAUGAAGGGCAUAGAAAAUGUGCUAUUGCGGGUAAAUUUGAAGUG